This 305-nucleotide ribosomal RNA is filed under the name uncultured bacterium. RNAcentral's name for it is "bacterial SSU rRNA". It matches the Rfam family "Bacterial small subunit ribosomal RNA", at positions 335 to 638 of the family's 1533-position model. The record is from RNAcentral.
GUUCCUACGGGAGGCAGCAGUGAGGAAUAUUGGUCAAUGGCCGGAAGGCUGAACCAGCCAAGCCGCGUGAAGGACGAAGGUGCCAAGCAUUGUAAACUUCUUUUGUCAAGGGACAAAAUCAGGCUCGCGUGCCUGACCGAGGGUACUUGAAGAAAAAGCAUCGGCUAACUCCGUGCCAGCAGCCGCGGUGAUACGGAGGUUGCGAGCGUUAUCCGGAUUUAUUGGGUUUAAAGGGUGCGUAGGCGGGCUGUUAAGUCAGCGGUAAAAGCCCGGGGUUCAACCCCGGCGAGCCGGUGAAACUGGCG